CCAGACUCCUACGGGAGGCAGCAGUGAGGAAUAUUGGUCAAUGGUCGGAAGACUGAACCAGCCAUGCCGCGUGCAGGAAGAAUGCCUUAUGGGUUGUAAACUGCUUUUAUAUGGGAAGAAUAAGGAGUACGUGUACUUUGAUGACGGUACCAUAUGAAUAAGCAUCGGCUAACUCCGUGCCAGCAGCCGCGGUAAUACGGAGGAUGCGAGCGUUAUUCGGAAUCAUUGGGUUUAAAGGGUCUGUAGGCGGGCUAUUAAGUCAGGGGUGAAAGGUUUCAGCUUAACUGAGAAAUUGCCUUUGAUACUGGUAGUCUUGAAUAUCUGUGAAGUUCUUGGAAUGUGUAGUGUAGCGGUGAAAUGCUUAGAUAUUACACAGAACACCGAUUGCGGAGGCAGGGGACUAACAGAUGAUUGACGCUGAGAGACGAAAGCGUGGGGAGCGAACAGGAUUAGAUACCCUGGUAGUCCACACCGUAAACGAUGGAUACUAGGAGUUGGCAAAAAUAUUGUCGGUUCCGCAGUUAACGCAUUAAGUAUCCCACCUGGGGAGUACGA
RNAcentral lists this ribosomal RNA (555 nucleotides) under uncultured bacterium. Its description in RNAcentral is "bacterial SSU rRNA". It matches the Rfam family "Bacterial small subunit ribosomal RNA", at positions 331 to 885 of the family's 1533-position model. The record is from RNAcentral.